Molecule: unclassified non-coding RNA, 316 nt
Filed under: Hevea brasiliensis (rubber tree)
Lineage: Eukaryota; Viridiplantae; Streptophyta; Magnoliopsida; Malpighiales; Euphorbiaceae
Source: RNAcentral
CAAGAACAUGUCCUGCCAAUGAUCACAAUUCGAUUUUUUUUUCUUAACAAUCAUUUAUUUUGUAACAAAGCAAUGUAUUAUUUAAUGAUAACAAAGCAAAUUAUUUAACCUAUACAUUUCUUUUACAAGCACAAAAAUGAUCAAUUCUGUGCUUUCCCAUCACCUUCAGUAAUAGCAUCCUUGAAAGAAAGACCACUUGGGAUCAUUGGCAGGACAUGUUCUUGAUGCGGUACAAUCACAUCAAGCAAAUAAGGCCCUGGAGUCUCCAACAUUUUCUUGAUAGCCUCCUUAAGCUUACUUUUCUUUGUGACUCUCG